GUUUUUUGUUUGUUUUUCAGAUUUCUUAUUUUUGUGUUUGUUUUG
RNAcentral lists this small RNA (45 nucleotides) under Arabidopsis thaliana (thale cress). Its description in RNAcentral is "ATSL068140". The record is from RNAcentral. Lineage: Eukaryota; Viridiplantae; Streptophyta; Magnoliopsida; Brassicales; Brassicaceae.